This 87-nucleotide small RNA is filed under the name Sinorhizobium meliloti 2011. Its description in RNAcentral is "putative ncRNA". Lineage: Bacteria; Pseudomonadati; Pseudomonadota; Alphaproteobacteria; Hyphomicrobiales; Rhizobiaceae. The record is from RNAcentral.
GGUACGAUAGAGCUCGGUUGCCGCAGCAAAGUCGCGAUCGACGUCCGCCGUGCGCGCCGCAAGGAAUGCGCCGGCAAAGGUGUUGAC